Takifugu rubripes (torafugu) is the source of this 2251-nucleotide long non-coding RNA. The record is from Ensembl. Lineage: Eukaryota; Metazoa; Chordata; Actinopteri; Tetraodontiformes; Tetraodontidae.
AUGUUUCCAUGGCGCCUCCCCAUCGCCGUGCUCCUGGGCCUGGCGUGGUGUUUUUCUGACUGCGUCCGCGCUGUCGCGCAGUAUUUUCUCUGUUUCCUCUUUUGCUUCACGGCGCCGCUGCUGGUGGCGAGCAGCAGCCGCGACGGCAGCACCCAGACGGAUGGAGAGGCCAAGGAAAGCCCGCCGAGGGAAUCUGUCGAGGAGGAGCUGUCGGGCGACGUGACUGAUGGAGAGAAGUGUGGGCAGGCGGAACCUCUGGGCUCCAAGUACCCACACGUCUUCAAGUCCCUGCAGCAAGUCUUUGAGUGCGCCUACGCUCAGCUCGUCCUGCCUUGGUACAGCGUCCCGGAGCCCCGCGAGGCCCAGCCGCUGCACCGGGUGCUCAGCAGGGAGGUGGACGUGGUGAUCGACCGCAUCAUCGAGAGAGCGCGACACUUUGACGUGUGCCAGGCGGUCGUGGGUUCCAUUCGCAUUCUGACGCAACAUUUGCAUAAUGCAAAGCAGCCUGACAGAGAACUCUUGUUCACUUCCAGAACUGAAGAGAUUACAGUUCUUAGAGAGUUUUCUGAUGCUCUGGUACGUAACCUUUUCUCCAAAUCUCUGUGGAGCCAUGAAGUCCACCGCUGUGCCUUGAAUGAAAUAGUUGCUACAAAGGGUUUGGGCUUAAUAGUGAGGUGGCUCUCAGACCCCGACAACCUGAACCAGCUGGUGGUCAGCCAGCUGGACAGAGUGACCCCCAAAAGCUCAGUGGAGGACCUGUGUGGGUCCGAUCUGGAUUUGACCUCUCUGGCGUCGCAGGAGGGCGACGGCAGUGAAGUGAGCUUUGAGGAAUCAGGUUUAUCAACCAGCACCAAGACCAAGACCAAAACUAGAGGAAACUCCAUCCUUCUCAACAUAUUCGAUGCCAUUCUGAAACCCGUCAUGCCCAUCCUGAAAAAGAAAGUGAACUCCUUCCUGGACAAGAUGAACCCCACCGAAGCGCAGAUGGCCUCUUACAUCGACCUGAUGUGUGGGAAACUGUGGCCGGAGCCUCCUUCAGCGGCAGCUGCUGCCCCUCGCACCGAGGAGGAGAAGAGCGAGAGCAGGGAGAGAGCUCACGGUCUCAUCAGUGCCAGAUAUUCCAACUACAUCAUCCUGAAGAAGACGGAUAUGGAAACUGUUUUUAACAUCUUCCAAAACUGUGAGGAGAAUAAAACACUGGUGUAUAUGCUCCUGUCAUUCCUGUUGAGGGAACUAUUUCCUGAUGAACACUCCCUGAAUCUGAGCGCGGCUGCCCUUCAGAAGGGAACCAGCUGCACACACUGACCUGUGAAGUCAUCACGACGCAUUUUAAUGCCACUCUUUAGAAACAUUUUAGUGUAUUUAUCAGACAUCUCAACUAUCUGUGACCACUUCUAAAUCAUUGCCACGUAUUUUAUAUCUAUCUAUAUAUUUUUUAAACUUAGACAUACUGUGAACGUUUUAUUUUCCAUUUCAUGUGUGAAGUCAAACAUUCCUGCUGUUGCUCUCGUGCCUGGUUGUUUUUAUAAAGCAUCUCAUAUUUACAUUUCUCACGUCACAUUUUCAUGUAUAGAAUUUCUACAUUUUAUAAUGUUUUUCCCCACUCUGAGCACUUGGGGGGGUUGUUUUCUUUAGCUUUUUUAAAAAUACAAAUAUUUACAGAAAUCUCACCAAAUCACCUGAAAUGUGGACUUGAUGUCAGAAGAAACUUGAAAUUGUUUUAUAAAUGAAUUCCAAAUAAAAUAUUUUAAGAAAACACUCCAUGUUUAUUUUGCAGUAAAUGUGUUUGUUGUCUUAUUUACUCUGAGGCAAUAUUUGAAUAAAGAUAUGAAGUAAACAAGUUAAUCCUAAAGGGACAUGCUGAAGAGGAAGCACUGAUGAAACCAUUAAAAUAAAAAGUUCUGGAUAUAUAAACAGGUUCUAAUUUUCUGCUGAAAUAAACUGAAAUGAAAUAAAUAUGUUAAAUAAUGCAUAUCCCUGGACCAGUAGGAAUUGGUUUAUAGAAAAUAAGAGCAGCUGUGUUUCUAUAAGUCUUAAUGGAAAUGUCUCUAAUCCCUAUGUUAUCUCAUUAUGGAAGCAAAACAUUAUCUCUCUGCGUGCUUCUUUUAGCAAAGCUGCAGAAUCCCGCAGAACCAAACACGUUACGUGGAGAGGCAGGUCCUGUCAGUGUGAGUGAUGUCUUCAUACUCUCAGUGAAGCAGUGGACUUGAAAGAAAUGUAAAACAAGCAUCAGCAGACAGAGACUUCAGAC